RNAcentral lists this ribosomal RNA (1475 nucleotides) under uncultured bacterium. RNAcentral's name for it is "16S ribosomal RNA". It matches the Rfam family "Bacterial small subunit ribosomal RNA". The record is from RNAcentral.
UUAGAGUUUGAUCAUGGCUCAGAACGAACGCUGGCGGCGUGGAUAAGACAUGCAAGUCGAACGAGAGAAUUGCUAGCUUGCUAAUAAUUCUCUAGUGGCGCACGGGUGAGUAACACGUGAGUAACCUGCCCCCGAGAGCGGGAUAGCCCUGGGAAACUGGGAUUAAUACCGCAUAGUAUCGAAAGAUUAAAGCAGCAAUGCGCUUGGGGAUGGGCUCGCGGCCUAUUAGUUAGUUGGUGAGGUAACGGCUCACCAAGGCGAUGACGGGUAGCCGGUCUGAGAGGAUGUCCGGCCACACUGGAACUGAGACACGGUCCAGACACCUACGGGUGGCAGCAGUCGAGAAUCAUUCACAAUGGGGGAAACCCUGAUGGUGCGACGCCGCGUGGGGGAAUGAAGGUCUUCGGAUUGUAAACCCCUGUCAUGUGGGAGCAAAUUAAAAAGAUAGUACCACAAGAGGAAGAGACGGCUAACUCUGUGCCAGCAGCCGCGGUAAUACAGAGGUCUCAAGCGUUGUUCGGAAUCACUGGGCGUAAAGCGUGCGUAGGCUGUUUCGUAAGUCGUGUGUGAAAGGCGCGGGCUCAACCCGCGGACGGCACAUGAUACUGCGAGACUAGAGUAAUGGAGGGGGAACCGGAAUUCUCGGUGUAGCAGUGAAAUGCGUAGAUAUCGAGAGGAACACUCGUGGCGAAGGCGGGUUCCUGGACAUUAACUGACGCUGAGGCACGAAGGCCAGGGGAGCGAAAGGGAUUAGAUACCCCUGUAGUCCUGGCAGUAAACGGUGCACGCUUGGUGUGCGGGGAAUCGACCCCCUGCGUGCCGGAGCUAACGCGUUAAGCGUGCCGCCUGGGGAGUACGGUCGCAAGAUUAAAACUCAAAGAAAUUGACGGGGACCCGCACAAGCGGUGGAGUAUGUGGCUUAAUUCGAUGCAACGCGAAGAACCUUACCUGGGCUUGACAUGUAAUGAACAACAUGUGAAAGCAUGCGACUCUUCGGAGGCGUUACACAGGUGCUGCAUGGCCGUCGUCAGCUCGUGUCGUGAGAUGUUUGGUUAAGUCCAGCAACGAGCGCAACCCCUGUUGCCAGUUACCAGCACGUGAAGGUGGGGACUCUGGCGAGACUGCCCAGAUCAACUGGGAGGAAGGUGGGGACGACGUCAGGUCAGUAUGGCCCUUAUGCCCAGGGCUGCACACGUACUACAAUGCCCAGUACAGAGGGGGCCGAAGCCGCGAGGCGGAGGAAAUCCUGAAAACUGGGCCCAGUUCGGACUGUAGGCUGCAACCCGCCUACACGAAGCCGGAAUCGCUAGUAAUGGCGCAUCAGCUACGGCGCCGUGAAUACGUUCCCGGGUCUUGUACACACCGCCCGUCACAUCAUGGAAGCCGGUCGCACCCGAAGUAUCUGAAGCCAACCGCAAGGAGGCAGGGUCCUAAGGUGAGACUGGUAACUGGGAUGAAGUCGUAACAAGGUAACC